AUGGCUCCGAUCGCCUCCUUUGCCGCAGCGGUGCUUCUACUCCUCGCACUGGCGUCACCGGCGGCAACCUUCAACAUCACCAGAAUCCUUGGCGAGUUUCCCGACUUCUCCACGUUCAACGGCCUCCUCAGUCAGACGAAGCUCGCGGACGAGAUCAACCGCCGGCAGACUAUUACGGUGCUGGCAGUCAACAAUGGAGGGAUGGGCGCCAUCACCUCGCUCCCCUCGGACAUCCAGCGGAAGGUGCUCGCCGUGCACGUGGUCCUGGACUACUACGACGCGGAGAAGCUGGGCAGCAUGAAGAACCGCUCGGCCGUGCUCACGACGCUCUUCCAGUCUACCGGCCAGGCCACCAACCGGAUGGGCUUUAUCAACUACACCAGGCGCGCCGCCGACGGCGUCAUGAUGUUCGGCUCCGCCGAGCCCGGCGCCCCAUUGACGUCCCAGAUGGUGAAGCCCGUCAUGUCCCGCCCCUACAACAUCUCCGUGCUGGAGGUCAGCUCUGCCAUCGUGCCUCCCAGCAUCGGCUCCGUCGACAACAGCAGAGCUCGCGCUCCGGCGCCUGCCCUUACUAAGAUUCCUGCGCCAGCACCGGCGCCGUCCAAGAGCAAGAAGCCAAAGACGGAGGGAGCCCCCACCCCUGCUCCUGCCCCGUCCGACGACGAUUCUAGCACUAACGCACCUGCCGACGCGGAUGGGCCCGACGCGGACGGCCCGGCGACGGAUGGGCCCGAUGCGGACGGCCCGGCGGCGGAUGCGCCGGCAGAUGAUGAUGAUGACAAGAGCAGCGACGACACCGGGGACGCUGCGGGCAGGGUGGUUGCCCGUGCAAGUCUCGGUAUCGUGGCGCUUCUGGUGAUUCUUGUUUCGCUCUGA
This 876-nucleotide ribosomal RNA is filed under the name Triticum aestivum (bread wheat). Its description in RNAcentral is "partial small subunit ribosomal RNA". Lineage: Eukaryota; Viridiplantae; Streptophyta; Magnoliopsida; Poales; Poaceae. The record is from RNAcentral.